UUAGAGUUUGAUCCUGGCUCAGGAUGAACGCUAGCGGCAGGCUUAACACAUGCAAGUCGAGGGGCAGCGAGAUCAGUGCUUGCACUGAUUGUCGGUGACCGGCGCACGGGUGCGUAACGCGUAUGCAACCUACCCAUUACAGGGGGAUAACACUGAGAAAUCGGUACUAAUACCCCAUAACAUCCAGGGAGGCAUCUUCUUGGGUUGAAAACUCCGGUGGUAAUGGAUGGGCAUGCGUUGUAUUAGUUAGUUGGUGGGGUAACGGCUCACCAAGACAACGAUACAUAGGGGGACUGAGAGGUUAACCCCCCACAUUGGUACUGAGACACGGACCAAACUCCUACGGGAGGCAGCAGUGAGGAAUAUUGGUCAAUGGACGCAAGUCUGAACCAGCAAUGCCGCGUGCAGGAAGACGGCUCUAUGAGUUGUAAACUGCUUUUGUACGAGGGUAAACGCAGAUACGCGUAUCUGUCUGAAAGUAUCGUACGAAUAAGGAUCGGCUAACUCCGUGCCAGCAGCCGCGGUAAUACGGAGGAUUCAAGCGUUAUCCGGAUUUAUUGGGUUUAAAGGGUGCGUAGGCGGUCGGAUAAGUUAGAGGUGAAAUCCCGGGGCUCAACUUCGGAAUUGCCUCUGAUACUGUUCGGCUAGAGAGUAGUUGCGGUAGGCGGAAUGUAUGGUGUAGCGGUGAAAUGCUUAGAGAUCAUACAGAACACCGAUUGCGAAGGCAGCUUACCAAGCUACUUCUGACGUUGAGGCACGAAAGCGUGGGGAGCAAACAGGAUUAGAUACCCUGGUAGUCCACGCAGUAAACGAUGAUAACUCGUUGUCGGCGAUACAGUGUCGGUGACUAAGCGAAAGCGAUAAGUUAUCCACCUGGGGAGUACGUUCGCAAGAAUGAAACUCAAAGGAAUUGACGGGGGCCCGCACAAGCGGAGGAACAUGUGGUUUAAUUCGAUGAUACGCGAGGAACCUUACCCGGGCUUGAAAGUUAGUGACGGAUCUUGAAAGAGGUCUUCUCUUCGGGGCACGAAACUAGGUGCUGCAUGGUUGUCGUCAGCUCGUGCCGUGAGGUGUCGGGUUAAGUCCCAUAACGAGCGCAACCCCUACCGUUAGUUGCCAGCAGGUCAAGCUGGGCACUCUGACGGGACUGCCGGUGUAAGCCGAGAGGAAGGUGGGGAUGACGUCAAAUCAGCACGGCCCUUACGUCCGGGGCUACACACGUGUUACAAUGGCAGGUACAGAGGGCAGCUACCCAGCGAUGGGAUGCGAAUCUCGAAAGCCUGUCUCAGUUCGGAUUGGAGGCUGAAACCCGCCUCCAUGUAGUUGGAUUCGCUAGUAAUCGCGCAUCAGCCAUGGCGCGGUGAAUACGUUCCCGGGCCGUGUACUCACCGCCCGUCA
Molecule: ribosomal RNA, 1398 nt
Filed under: uncultured bacterium
Lineage: Bacteria
Description: 16S ribosomal RNA
Rfam family: Bacterial small subunit ribosomal RNA
Source: RNAcentral